This 542-nucleotide ribosomal RNA is filed under the name uncultured Psychrilyobacter sp. Its description in RNAcentral is "bacterial SSU rRNA". It matches the Rfam family "Bacterial small subunit ribosomal RNA", at positions 53 to 609 of the family's 1533-position model. Lineage: Bacteria; Fusobacteriati; Fusobacteriota; Fusobacteriia; Fusobacteriales; Fusobacteriaceae. The record is from RNAcentral.
ACAUGCAAGUCGACUGGAAUUCUUCUUCGGAAGAUAGUACGGUGGCGGACGGGUGAGUAACGCGUAAAGAAUUUGCCCUUCAGACUGGGACAACUAAUCGAAAGGUUAGCUAAUACCGGAUAUUAUGAGACCUUGGCAUCAAGGACUUAUGAAAGCUAUAUGCGCUGAAGGAGAACUUUGCGUUCCAUUAGGUAGUUGGUAGGGUAAUGGCCUACCAAGCCGACGAUGGAUAGCCGGCCUGAGAGGGUGAACGGCCACAAGGGGACUGAGACACGGCCCUUACUCCUACGGGAGGCAGCAGUGGGGAAUAUUGGACAAUGGACCAAAAGUCUGAUCCAGCAAUUCUGUGUGCACGAUGAAGGUCUUCGGAUUGUAAAGUGCUUUCAGGUGGGAAGAAGAAAGUGACGGUACCACCAGAAGAAGCGACGGCUAAAUACGUGCCAGCAGCCGCGGUAAUACGUAUGUCGCAAGCGUUAUCCGGAAUUAUUGGGCGUAAAGCGAGUCUAGGCGGCUUGUUAAGUCAGAUGUGAAAAUGCGGGGCU